This 268-nucleotide ribosomal RNA is filed under the name uncultured bacterium. Its description in RNAcentral is "partial 16S ribosomal RNA". It matches the Rfam family "Bacterial small subunit ribosomal RNA", at positions 793 to 1055 of the family's 1533-position model. The record is from RNAcentral.
GUCCACGCCCUAAACGAUGUCAACUGGUUGUUGGGGAAUUGAUUUCCUUAGUAACGAAGCUAACGCGUGAAGUUGACCGCCUGGGGAGUACGGUCGCAAGAUUAAAACUCAAAGGAAUUGACGGGGGCCCGCACAAGCGGUGGAUGAUGUGGUUUAAUUUCGAUGCAACGCGAAAAACCUUAACCUACCCUUGACAUGUCCCGAACCCUGCUGAAAGGCGGGGGUGGCCCGAAAGGGAACGGGAACACAGGUGCUGCAUGGCUGUCGU